This is a long non-coding RNA of Grus americana (Whooping crane), 1274 nucleotides long. RefSeq lists it as uncharacterized. The record is from RefSeq and is a predicted model, not a curated record. The transcript has 5 exons. Lineage: Eukaryota; Metazoa; Chordata; Aves; Gruiformes; Gruidae.
UCCGGUGGCGCAGUCGCUUUGGCCCGGUCGCCGGGGGCCCGGCUCGGCCCACCCGGGGCGCUGACUGCCGCCGUUCCGGAGCCGGGCCUGAUCAGACCUUUCUUCCUUUUCCCUUCGACUCCCUUCGAGGAGGGAACGGCAUGGGGGACAGCUGCUGUGCUCCGCGGCAGAGUGGUUUCCAAGUGGUUGGUACUCCCUGCAAGGGAGACGAGAGCUGCUUGUGUAGCUUUGCGGUACAAGAAAUCCGUAGUCAGUUCUUUUGUAACUUCGAACUACAGGCGUGAGAGGGGACUUGAGGUGCCUCUUCUUGCUGGUGGGAGAUGCUUCAGAAAUCUGCAGCCUGGCAGGUGGUGACUGUAAUAUGUAAUUGAACAACUUCAGGAGAAAGGCUUCCCACUAUACCUUCUUGCAGGCCUGUCUGGCGUCUUAGUAGAGGAGCUCAAUCUCAGAUCUUGGUGGAGAUACUAAAUUGUGUGGAAUCCUUGCUAGGCCUCAAAGCUGGUCAAGGGCACAAUAGCAUCAGAAGUGAGAGAUGGACACGCUGAACAGAGGGUUGGAGAGACAGAGUUUAUAAAAGAUGGCACAGAUCUGAGGUUUUCUGAACCUGGACUCUGCUUGAAAGAGAAUUAUUUCAGGAAGUUUGAGCAGAAACAGUUUGGUGCAAUGGAUAAACUUUCUUUCUAGCUUUUAUAUUUAUAAAGAAAGGUGUAUUUUUUCAUGAGUACACUAAAGCAUCUGAACAGGAGACACUGGAAACCUGAAAUCUGGAAUGGAGAUAAUGCAUUAGGCUCAAUGGAAAAAGUAUGGUUUGGUUUAGCCAGAUCAUACAGAUUUAAAUUGCUUGCCUUGACAGUUGCUUGGCUAUGUGUGUAUUAACCAAGACAUCACAAGGAAAUCUGGAUCUCAUUUGGUGUCCAGCGGAUGGAUUAGAUAUUAAACUGAUGAAUGAGGAAGGGUACAGCAGGAGCACUAGGGUAACAGUAAAUGUAGUUCCUCUACAUGAUUUGCUAUGCAGAGAAUUUGUGAAUAGGUAUUAUAGGAUUGAAGAUUGUAUUGCAAUUGCACACAUUAGCAUGAGGCAGCAGAGGUAAGAGUUGGUGUGGAGCCUUGGGAUACUGUACCUUUAAGCUCCUCACUUUGCCAUCCUACUGCUCCACUAGUAACUCUGAGAAAUUCUGUAUCAUUGUUUUGUCAGUUUUGAUGGUGCUAUGCUGAUUUACAUCAGCGAAAGAUCUACCUAACAACCUCAUUAAAAAUAAAAACAAUGUGAAUCA